This is a long non-coding RNA of Perognathus longimembris pacificus (Pacific pocket mouse), 401 nucleotides long. RefSeq lists it as uncharacterized. The transcript has 2 exons. Lineage: Eukaryota; Metazoa; Chordata; Mammalia; Rodentia; Heteromyidae. The record is from RefSeq and is a predicted model, not a curated record.
AGCUUUGUGGAGGUGGGGGUAAACGAGGAGCUAGAGGUCAGGAUUUUUGUGCUGAUCUGUCAGAGGUAAGUUACUGUACUACAGACAGUACACAUAUAGUCAAAGUAUGAAUUCAUUGAUUUUUUUUUGCCAUUUUCACGGCCUGUUUUUAUUGAGACUAGACAACAUUUCUUAAAAAGCAGAAGAAAUAAUUAGUAAGGUCUAAAAACUAUAAUACCUAACUGCAAACCUAUGGGAGCAGAAGUCUGUAUUUUCCAUUCACUUUUGCUGUGAAUUUCAGUCUACACUAAAACGUAGUCUGCUAGGGGUCAGGGUGUGUGUGGGGGGGGCUCAUUGGUGGGACACUUGGCUAGCCGUGUGUGAAAUGCUCUGAUCCUCAUCCCUGCAGAAACUCUGUGAAG